CACGUAGGCGGGUCUUUAAGUCAGGGGUGAAAUCCUGGAGCUCAACUCCAGAACUGCCUUUGAUACUGAAGAUCUUGAGUUCGGGAGAGGUGAGUGGAACUGCGAGUGUAGAGGUGAAAUUCGUAGAUAUUCGCAAGAACACCAGUGGCGAAGGCGGCUCACUGGUCCAUUACUGACGCUGAGGUGCGAAAGCGUGGGGAGCAAACA
Molecule: ribosomal RNA, 207 nt
Filed under: uncultured bacterium
Lineage: Bacteria
Description: partial 16S ribosomal RNA
Rfam family: Bacterial small subunit ribosomal RNA
Source: RNAcentral